UUUUUAUUCCUCCGUUUCUUUUCCUCUUCCGCGAGCCCGAGCCCUUCUCCCCGACGCCGCCGAUUUUCCUCCUCUCUGCCCUAACCGCCGGCCGGCGGAUUCCUCCUCUCCGAGAGCACAAAAACGCCGGCCACUUCUUCUCCCUUUCCUCCUCUCCUCUGCCGGAGCCCUAGCACCGCCGCCCGACCGCCUGCCCGAGCCAAACUCCUCUCCUCUGCUUGCCCUAUCCACCCGACACCGAGCCACUGCCGUCGGCGACACACAGAGCAGCGCCGGUCAUCUUCCUCCUUUCUCCCAAGUCCGACUUCUCUGUGCCCUUCUUCCUCUCUGCCGUGUCUUGGCACAGCGCCGAUCGCCUCUCCCUCCGCCCGGAGCAGCGCUGCCGCCGGCCUUCCUCGGCCCUAGAGCUUUCCCUCCGAUCGUCGAGCAGAGCUGUGCCCUAGCCUCAGCCGCGACACCCAUCUCCUCGGCGCUACCAAUCUGAUUUGUUGUUCAUUGUGCCCUGGUUUUCAUUGCUGAUCCGAGAUUGGGGUUUCCUCAAUUCCAGUCAUCUCAUUACUGAUUGGUUCUGUUGCCAUUACAGAACGGCUGAAGAAGAAUUGAGGAUAUUGAUUCGAGACGGUGUCUUGACGGGGGAUCUGUUUUGGAUACGAUCCUUUUCGAUUGGAGGCGGGU
Molecule: long non-coding RNA, 675 nt
Organism: Zingiber officinale
Lineage: Eukaryota; Viridiplantae; Streptophyta; Magnoliopsida; Zingiberales; Zingiberaceae
Exons: 3
Source: RefSeq, a predicted model, not a curated record